Molecule: long non-coding RNA, 3558 nt
Organism: Balaenoptera acutorostrata (minke whale)
Lineage: Eukaryota; Metazoa; Chordata; Mammalia; Artiodactyla; Balaenopteridae
Exons: 3
Source: RefSeq, a predicted model, not a curated record
CGACUGCGCGACUGUACCGUAGCGCGAGGACUGGAUGCGCCCGCUGAUUGGCUCCACUGCCGCAGCUGCGCACCAGCCGACCCUCACAGACGCCCCCGCCCCCACCUCACCCCAACUCGCUUUCACUGUUAGAGAGGGCUGUGCUUUCGUUUAGUUUCUAACCUUUGGCCUCAGUUGUGCCCUCGGGGUCCUCUUAUAUAAGACACCCUCAAGACAGCCAUCAUGUCAGUUCCCCUAUCAUAUACUUUCUAAACUAAAUAUCUAAAGUUCCUUCAAUUAGCUUCUGUGACAUCUAUCAUGAUGAAACUGCUCCUGGUCUCUGUGUCUCAUCUUUGAAAGCCUUUGCUGAGGGAUUUGCCCGGGUACCUUAACUCCAGGGACUUUAAAGUUUUUAAGUGAAAUCAUGAAGGAAUGUCUGGAAAUUAUUUGAAUUCCUCCAAAGAAGAGCAGUUUUUGUGGUUGUCACUCGAGAAAAGCCUAUGAACGUAAAGAGAGGUAAUAUGAUCAAGCUGGACUCCACCUUACAUGGUUAGGGCAAGUGAGGAAUUGAUGGCAACUGGGAGACAGCUUUACUCAAGACGUUAAGACUCUGUGCUACCUCUGAUUUCUUAACAUGUGUAACUUAGACUCCAAAACUGUUUUCGUCUCACUACAAUAUGAAGGCUUUGCAAGAUCAGCUCAAGAGACACAUCCAUACUGCUCUCUGCACCCAGCAGCCACGUCUGGACAGCUCUACUGAACAACUAAUGCAGUUCUGACACAAGUGGUAGAUUUGAGUGACUAACGCUGCCUCUCUGUUGUUUUUUUCCUCCCCUUCUUAAUCAAUACCCAUAUAAUUGAUCAGGUAGGCCAUAUGGCCCCUGUGAUUCCCACAUUAAGACAAUUAGGACAGCAGCCAGGUCAUUGCUCAAGCUGGCAUUCUUCAUAACUAAGACAAGAAAACCUAACUCUUUGUCUUUCUCAGAAAAAGCCAACUCCACCUGCUCGUGGGUAUGAUUCAGUACGAAUUCAUGUAAUAUCUAGCUAAAAAGGAGUACAGCCAUACUUAGAAAAAAUAUCGCCUAAAAGUGAAUUGUAUGCCAGUAAGUUUCCCCCUGCAGAAUCCAGACUGAAAUGUGAUAGUAGAAAUCUAAUGUGAUAGUGAAACUCUAGCUCAAGAAGAGUGAGUAUACAGUGUAGACUAAGAUCUUACACACACUCUGAGAGAGAGCUGCUGGUCACUGGAGAGUAGGUAGACUCUCCUACUCUAGGACCGAGUGUCAGAGAGGAGGAGUUCAGAGACUGGGGGAUUCUCACAGCUAUGAGCUCUAAAAUGAUGGAGGCGGGGGGAGGACUUGGAAAUGCAAGGCCAAGUGUAAGGAAAGAUAAAAGAUCUAUUUUCUGGCAUCAGGAUUUAUAGAGGGAACCGCUCCCACACUGCAACCCUCUUUUAAUAAGAGAAAGUAACAAGCUAAACAGCAUGUCAUAGCUGAGAUUUCUGGAAAGUCAGCCAUUCUCAGCAUCAUGGAAUCUGUGAAUCAGGAGCCAAUGGGAAGCAAAACAAGUAGCAGUUUGAAUAUAGAAUUAUUAUUUUAUUUAGAACAGAAAGUGAAAAUUUACUAAAUAUAUUUACUAAACAUAGGCUAAACAUAUGACCUAUUGGCCAGGAGAUUUAUGCUUCCCUACGUGAUAUGUUCUCUUAACUCCAACCCCCAACCCCCAAGCAGGAGCAGUGGAGGAAGCAAGAACCACCACAGUAGGGUUAGUCCUGGAAACGACAUUGUGCACCAGCAGACUUCUUGCAGAAGGUUUCCAAGCAUAAGAGAGACCCCUGAAGUACCUGGGCAGCCCACCCACUACUGAAACAAGACAAAAAUGCCUCUGGGAAGGAGAUGACAAAUAUUCCUCUUGUCCUAUUGUCUUCCAUCACUCAAACCAAUUAAAAAGUAGAACAAAAGUACCUAAAAAGAGGCAAACAACAGCAACCAAUUCUCCCAGUUUAUAAUCAAACAGGAUUUCAGCAACCAAUGUUGUUAAAAAAUUUUUCUACCAUAUGCCUCAUGUGUUACUCUAGUAAAUGAAUUCUUUCAUCAUCAAGAGAGUUUAUAUGACAUUCUCUUGAUGAUGAAAGAAUUUAUUUCCUAGAACAAAACUCUGGAAAAAGUCAUGUUAAGAAUCAUGCUGGCCAAUAUUAUAACAAACAACAUAACACUUCCACUAACUUCACAUUUGUUAUGGGCCAGGCACUCUACUAGGCAUUUUAUACAUGUUUUCUUAUUUUCUCCUCUAAACAGCUCUAUAAAGUAAAUGUUAGUUGUAUGUGAAAGGUAAGGACACAUGCUCAGAAAGGGUAAACUAUUUGAUAAAGUUACAUAGCUCAUAGGUAGCAGAGCAAGGAUUCAAACUAAGACUUUAAUCUUAGGCCACCUCAAACCACCAUACUCUCCUGCUCACAAAAUAAAUUUCUUAAUCAUUUGAAAAAAAAAAAAAAAAAAGAAUCAUGCUGGCAAGAUUCUUUUUGACCCAGCUCCUAGAGAAAUGGAAAUAAAAACAAAAAUAAACAAAUGGGACCUAAUGAAGCUUAAAAGCUUUUGCACAGCAAAGAAAACCAUAAACAAGACCAAAAGACAACCCUCAGAAUGGGAGAAAAUAUUUGCAAAUGAAGCAACUGACAAAGGAUUAAUCUCCAAGAUUUACAAGCAGCUCAUGCAGCUCAAUAACGAAAAAACAAACAACCCAAUCCAAAAAUGGGCAGAAGACCUAAAUAGACAUUUCUCCAAAGAAGAUAUACAGAUUGCCAACAAACACAUGAAAGAAUGCUCAACAUCAUUAAUCAUUAGAGAAAUGCAAAUCAAAAUUACAAUGAGAUAUCAUCUCACACCGGUCAGAAUGGCCAUCAUCAAAAAAUCUAGAAACAAUAAAUGCUGGAGAGGGCGUGGAGAAAAGGGAACACUCUUGCACUGCUGGUGGGAAUGUAAAUUGAUACAGCCACUAUGGAGAACAGUAUGGAGGUUCCUUAAAAAACGACAAAUAGAACUACCGUAUGACCCAGCAAUCCCACUACUGGGCAUAUACCCUGAGAAAACCAUAAUUCAAAAAGAGUCAUGUACCAAAAUGUUCAUUGCAGCUCUAUUUACAAUAGGCAGGACAUGGAAGCAACCUAAGUGUCCUUCAUCGCAUGAAUGGAUAAAGAAGAUGUGGCACAUGUAUACAAUGGAAUAUUACUCAGCCAUAAAAAGAAACGAAAUUGAGUUAUUUGUAGUGAGGUGGAUGGAGUUAGAGUCUGUCAUACAGAGUGAAAUAAGCCAGAAAGAGAAGAACAAAUACAGUAUGCUAACACAUAUAUAUGGAAUCUAAGGAAAAAAAAGUCAUGAAGAACCUAGUGGCAAGACGGGAAUAAAGACAUAGACCUACUAGAGAAUGGACUUGGGGAUAUGGGGAGGGGGAAGGGUAAUAUGUGACAGGGUGAGAGAGUGGCAUGGACAUAUAUACACUACCAAAUGUAAAAUAGCUAGUGGGAAGCAGCCGCAUAGCACAGGGAGAUGAGCUCGGUGCUUUGUGAUCACCUAGAGGGGUGGA